This 252-nucleotide ribosomal RNA is filed under the name uncultured bacterium. RNAcentral describes it as "partial 16S ribosomal RNA". It matches the Rfam family "Bacterial small subunit ribosomal RNA", at positions 524 to 776 of the family's 1533-position model. The record is from RNAcentral.
UACGUAGGGGGCAAGCGUUGUCCGGAAUUAUUGGGCGUAAAGCGCGCGCAGGCGGUCUUUUAAGUCUGGUGUCUAAGUGCGGGGCUCAACCCCGUGAUGCACUGGAAACUGGGAGACUUGAGUGCAGAAGAGGAGAGCGGAAUUCCACGUGUAGCGGUGAAAUGCGUAGAGAUGUGGAGGAACACCGAUGGCGAAGGCAGCUCGCUGGGACGUUACUGACGCUGAGACGCGAAAGCGUGGGGAGCAAACAGG